CUUACAUUUUAAUCGCCAGGGAACUACGAGCAAAGCUUAAAACCCAAAGGACUUGACGGUACCCCAAAUCCAUCUAGAGGAGCCUGUCCUAUAAUCGAUAACCCCCGUUAAACCUCACCACUUAUUGCCUUUCAGCCUGUAUACCUCCGUCGUCAGCUUACCACGUGAGCGUCACCAAGUGAGCUUAAUGCCUGUGCGCCAACACGUCAGGUCAAGGUGCAGCUAAUAAAGUGGGAAGAGAUGGGCUACACUUUCUAAUCUAGAAAACACGAAAGGCUAUCUAUGAAACCUAGCCAGAAGGAGGAUUUAGUAGUAAAAAGAAAACAGAGCGUUCUUUUAAACCCGGCACUGGGGUGUGUACACACCGCCCGUCACCCUCUUCAAAGCCCAAUUCAAGUAUUUAACUAACUUUUAUUAUGUAGAAGAGGCAAGUCGUAACAUGGUAAGUAUACCGGAAGGUGUGCUUGGAAACGCAGUAUAGCUUAACUCAAAGCACCCCGCUUACACCGGGAAGACAUUUGUGAAACCCAAAUUACUUCGAGCCAAAAAUCUAGCCCUAUAUCAACUUAUGAAAUUCCUCGACCUCACAGCACCCAUUAAAACAUUUUUAUAUUUUAGUAAAGGGGAUUGAAAAUCUACUUAGGAGCUAUAAUUUAGUACCGCAAGGGAAAGAUGAAAUAAAAGUGAAACAAAUCUUAAGCAUAAAAAAGUAGAGAU
RNAcentral lists this unclassified non-coding RNA (717 nucleotides) under Leptodactylus melanonotus (black-backed frog). Its description in RNAcentral is "partial contains 12S ribosomal RNA, tRNA-Val and 16S ribosomal RNA". The stretch from base 1 to 480 matches the Rfam family "Bacterial small subunit ribosomal RNA", at positions 852 to 1533 of the family's 1533-position model. The record is from RNAcentral. Lineage: Eukaryota; Metazoa; Chordata; Amphibia; Anura; Leptodactylidae.